Molecule: non-coding RNA, 183 nt
Filed under: Micromonospora rosaria
Lineage: Bacteria; Bacillati; Actinomycetota; Actinomycetes; Micromonosporales; Micromonosporaceae
Source: RNAcentral
GUAGGGUGUGGCCGCCGUGGUGUUCGGGAAGCCGGUGCGGUACCGGCGCGGCCCUCGCCACUGUGAUCGGGAAGCCGACGGCCCUUGUCCUCCGUGGAGGUCACUGAGCGUUCACGCUCGGGAAGGCCGGCCGUCGGUGUGGUACCCGUCAGCCAGGAGACCGGCCACGGCACGCUCGACCCG